This 492-nucleotide ribosomal RNA is filed under the name uncultured bacterium. Its description in RNAcentral is "partial 16S ribosomal RNA". It matches the Rfam family "Bacterial small subunit ribosomal RNA", at positions 29 to 507 of the family's 1533-position model. The record is from RNAcentral.
AGUGAACGCUGGCGGUAGGCCUAACACAUGCAAGUCGAACGGCAGCACAGUAAGAGCUUGCUCUUACGGGUGGCGAGUGGCGGACGGGUGAGGAAUACAUCGGAAUCUACUUUUUCGUGGGGGAUAACGUAGGGAAACUUACGCUAAUACCGCAUACGACCUACGGGUGAAAGCAGGGGAUCUUCGGACCUUGCGCGAUUGAAUGAGCCGAUGUCGGAUUAGCUAGUUGGCGGGGUAAAGGCCCACCAAGGCGACGAUCCGUAGCUGGUCUGAGAGGAUGAUCGGCCACACUGGAACUGAGACACGGUCCAGACUCCUAAGGGAGGCAGCAGUGGGGAAUAUUGGACAAUGGGCGCAAGCCUGAUCCAGCCAUACCGCGUGGGUGAAGAAGGCCUUCGGGGUGUAAAGCCCUUUUGUUGGGAAAGAAAAGCAGCAGGUUAAUACCCCGCUGUUCUGACGGUACCCAAAGAAUAAGCACCGGCUAACUUCGUG